UCGCCUGUUUAUCAAAAACAUAGCCCAAAGAUUUAUUUUGGGUAAAUUCUGCCCAGCGUAAUUUAUUAGCGGCCGCAGUACUUUGACUGUGCUAAGGUAGCAUAAUCAAUUGGCUUUUAAUUGUAGUCUGGAAUGAAAGGACUAAUAAGGGUUAGCUGUCUCUAUACUAUUAUUUUGAAUUUAUUUAUUAAGUGAAAAUACUUAUACAAAGAAAAAAGACGAGAAGACCCUUAGAAUUUUAAUAAAAUAUUUAAUAAUUUUUUUUGUUGGGGCGACAUUGAAACAAUUAAACUUUCAUUAACAAUCAAGACAUUUAGGUUUGAAAGAGUAAAUUACCUUAGGGAUAACAGCAUAAUUAAUUAUUUAGUUUGUGACCUCGAUGUUGGACUAGGAACUAGAAGAUUAACCGUCUAAAUAGAUGUCGUC
Molecule: ribosomal RNA, 426 nt
Filed under: Pseudosuccinea columella
Lineage: Eukaryota; Metazoa; Mollusca; Gastropoda; Lymnaeidae
Description: partial 16S ribosomal RNA
Rfam family: Bacterial large subunit ribosomal RNA
Source: RNAcentral